UCCCUGCUGGCCCAGAGAGUAAAGCAUCUGCCUGCAAGGCAGAAGACCUGGGUUUGAUCCCUGGGUCAGGAA
Transfer RNA from Ovis aries (sheep), 72 nucleotides. It matches the Rfam family "tRNA". From Rfam's summary of the family: Transfer RNA (tRNA) molecules are approximately 80 nucleotides in length. Their secondary structure includes four short double-helical elements and three loops (D, anti-codon, and T loops). Further hydrogen bonds mediate the characteristic L-shaped molecular structure. tRNAs have two regions of fundamental functional importance: the anti-codon, which is responsible for specific mRNA codon recognition, and the 3' end, to which the tRNAs corresponding amino acid is attached (by aminoacyl-tRNA synthetases). tRNAs cope with the degeneracy of the genetic code in two manners: having more than one tRNA (with a specific anti-codon) for a particular amino acid; and 'wobble' base-pairing, i.e. permitting non-standard base-pairing at the 3rd anti-codon position. Lineage: Eukaryota; Metazoa; Chordata; Mammalia; Artiodactyla; Bovidae. The record is from Rfam.